RNAcentral lists this ribosomal RNA (403 nucleotides) under Fusobacteriota bacterium. RNAcentral's name for it is "Fusobacteria bacterium partial 16S ribosomal RNA". It matches the Rfam family "Bacterial small subunit ribosomal RNA", at positions 355 to 776 of the family's 1533-position model. Lineage: Bacteria; Fusobacteriati; Fusobacteriota. The record is from RNAcentral.
UGGGGAAUAUUGCACAAUGGGGGAAACCCUGAUGCAGCGACGCCGCGUGAGCGAAGAAGGUUUUCGAAUCGUAAAGCUCUGUCCUAUGGGAAGAUAAUGACGGUACCAUAGGAGGGAGCCCCGGCUAACUACGUGCCAGCAGCCGCGGUAAUACGUAGGGGGCAAGCGUUGUCCGGAAUCACUGGGCGUAAAGGGUUCGCAGGCGGAAAUGCAAGUCAGUUGUGAAAGGCAGAGGCUCAACCUCUGUAAGCAAUUGAAACUGUAUUUCUUGAGAUGUGGAGAGGCAAGUGGAAUUCCUAGUGUAGCGGUGAAAUGCGUAGAUAUUAGGAAGAAUACCGGUGGCGAAGGCGACUUGCUGGACACAAACUGACGCUGAGGAACGAAAGCGUGGGUAGCAAACAGG